RNAcentral lists this ribosomal RNA (512 nucleotides) under uncultured bacterium. Its description in RNAcentral is "bacterial SSU rRNA". It matches the Rfam family "Bacterial small subunit ribosomal RNA", at positions 8 to 518 of the family's 1533-position model. The record is from RNAcentral.
AGGGUUCGAUUCUGGCUCAGGAUGAACGCUGGCGGCGUGCUUAACACAUGCAAGUCGAACGGAGUUUUUAAGCGGAAGUUUUCGGAUGGAAGUUUAAGAACUUAGUGGCGGACGGGUGAGUAACGCGUGGGUAACCUGCCUCAUACAGGGGGAUAACAGUUAGAAAUGACUGCUAAGACCGCAUAAUAUAGCGAAACCGCAUGAUUUUUGCUAUCAAAUAUUUAUAGGUAUGAGAUGGGCCCGCGUCUGAUUAGCUAGUUGGUGGGGUAAAAGCCUACCAAGGCGACGAUCAGUAGCCGGCUUGAGAGAGUGACCGGCCACAUUGGGACUGAGACACGGCCCAAACUCCUACGGGAGGCAGCAGUGGGGAAUAUUGGACAAUGGGGGAAACCCUGAUCCAGCGAACCGCCGCGUGAGUGAAGAAGUAUUUCGGUAUGUAAAGCUCUAUCAGCAGGGAAGAUAAUGACAGUACCUGACUAAGAAGCCCCGGCUAACUACGUGCCAGCAGCGGC